This 493-nucleotide ribosomal RNA is filed under the name uncultured bacterium. RNAcentral describes it as "partial 16S ribosomal RNA". It matches the Rfam family "Bacterial small subunit ribosomal RNA", at positions 29 to 523 of the family's 1533-position model. The record is from RNAcentral.
AUUGAACGCUGGCGGCAUGCUUUACACAUGCAAGUCGAACGGUAACAGGUUAAGCUGACGAGUGGCGAACGGGUGAGUAAUGCAUCGGAACGUGCCCGGUCGUGGGGGAUAACGCAGCGAAAGCUGCGCUAAUACCGCAUACGAUCUGAGGAUGAAAGCGGGGGACCGUAAGGCCUCGCGCGAUCGGAGCGGCCGAUGUCAGAUUAGGUAGUUGGUGGGGUAAAGGCUCACCAAGCCAACGAUCUGUAGCUGGUCUGAGAGGACGACCAGCCACACUGGGACUGAGACACGGCCCAGACUCCUACGGGAGGAAGCAGUGGGGAAUUAUGGACAAUGGGCGAAAGCCUGAUCCAGCAAUGCCGCGUGCAGGAAGAAGGCCUUCGGGUUGUAAACUGCUUUUGUACGGAGCGAAAAGGCCUCCUCUAAUACAGGGGGCUCAUGACGGUACCGUAAGAAUAAGCACCGGCUAACUACGUGCCAGCAGCCGCCGUAA